CUUGUGUUUCUUACCACCAUGCCCAUGAGAGGGUGGUUUUCCUCCAUGGCUUCCUCCCGAACCAUGAGGUGGUGGAGAUCCAUAAGGUGGAUUCCCAUGUGAAUCUACAAAAAAGAAAAUACUGGAUGAGUAUAAAAAAAAGGUGAUCGUCAGGAAUAUCUUAACACUAAAAAAUAAUUUGGAACUACGAAAUGCGAGGGAAUGUGUGUGUAUAUGUCGUGGUUGGUAGAGAAACCUGUGGGCGGGCUUCCUGCAUGUGGGUCUGGAGUGUAAUAAGUUUUCUGAUCUUCGUUGCCUGCAGACGUCAAAGGGAUAGCUAUGUUUUGAGAAACCAACCCAAGAAUUAGAGUCCAUAGAAGGAGAGAAGCUAGUUUUCUUUCCAUUGUGCUAUGUAUGUUUUACUGAGAAGGAAGGAAAGGAAGACGAUGGAUUAUAUAUUGUUGAUGAAAAUGCAUGAGAAGACUAAACGAUACAUAUAAAAGACGGACUGAGGUAGAGAGUGAAGUAAAUAUUUGCAGGUAGAAGGUUAUGUGGUUAGUUGAUAUGUUGCAGGUGCAUUUAUUCGCUUAUUUACUUCUUGCAUCGUUUGCAAUAAUGUUUGAACAUUGGAGUCGACAACGCAUAUGAAUUCAAAUAAAUUUUUCUGACACUCGCAAGGUAAACUCUCCCUCUCAAUACCUCUCUCCCAAUCCCCCCGCCACCAUAAAACGCGGGACACGUUAACGUAUGUCAUUAGCCCAGUAGGAUAUGUUUUUAUUUUUUAUAUGUACAACAUGUAAAGUGAAAAUUUCAAACUUCAAACUGCUUAGUCGAAAAUGCAUGCCUUAUUGGUUGUGUCAUUCUCAUCCUUAUUGCUUAGUAGCAAUUAAUUCCAUGGAUCACAUUUUCCCUUUUAAUUGCAUCUUAUAUGAUUAUGACUUGAUUCAUGAAGUAAUGCAAAUGCAACAUCUAGAGUCUGCGCCAUGCAUCCCACGCAGGGAAUGCCCAUGGAGAUGUUAUGAGCUCGUGAUCUGAUGAAGAGCAAGUACUCUUAGUUGCCGGUGCUGCCUUAUUGAAUAUUCAGGGCAGCGCAAUAGAUAUUUUUCAUUGCUGGAAUCCUGUGAAACUAUGGAGUACCGGGCUGGAAUAAUGACUUAUUUAACCUAUAUUAAUGAAGGAGCUGAUUCCAUCCUGCCGUCCAUAUCUCAAGCUUUGAGCAAGCUGCUCAAAUUAUAGUUCUCCUUGGCCUUAUUUCCUUGCCUCCUUAAAAGAUCAAUUAUGAAACAAUAACAAGAUUGUGCAGGUACGUGUGGAAUCCAAAUUGGGCGUAGGACUCGAUCAAUUAUUGUCCGAUUUGAUGGUUCCCUGGCUUGAUUACCAUAUAAAGCCUGUCUCUUUCGUGUACUAGUUACAUUAAUGGUUGCACCAUGCUUGGCCCUCUUCCUCUUGUUAUGGUGUUGGACUAAGUUAGGUUUUCGAGGUUGGAUGACUGUCAUGAAGUUGGUUGGUGUGAGAAGAGAAGCUUGAUGGUUUGGUGGUUAACUACUUGUAGCGGCAGAGCUCAAAAUCUUUCACAAAGAGUGUUUGUCUUUGUCAGGAAUAAAAGGAAGCAAACCAAGUCAGAAAGACCAACACACUCAGCAUAUCCACGGGUACAAUCAAGUCUAGCAAGCAGCUCCACGUCAGCCAAAGAAGAGAAUUAUAUAUUGGAAAUAAAAUCUUGAAAAUUGUCCAAAAGCUGUACAUUAUCACCCCAAUUUUUGGACGAGUAAUACAUUAAUAUAUGUAUAUAUCUACAAUGCCAGAGGAGACAAAUUACAAGGUCAAAAGGUUGCUAUAAGAUAAGAUAAAGAGUUGGUUGGUAGAAAACUAAUUUUUUUUUUUCUUUUGGACCAAUAGAAAACUGAAGUUAAUAUCACAGAAUCCAAAAUAUAUUCAUUUUCGAAUAA
This is a long non-coding RNA of Cucumis sativus (cucumber), 1928 nucleotides long. RefSeq lists it as uncharacterized. The record is from RefSeq and is a predicted model, not a curated record. The transcript is spliced from 6 exons. Lineage: Eukaryota; Viridiplantae; Streptophyta; Magnoliopsida; Cucurbitales; Cucurbitaceae.